Molecule: long non-coding RNA, 446 nt
Organism: Parus major (Great Tit)
Lineage: Eukaryota; Metazoa; Chordata; Aves; Passeriformes; Paridae
Exons: 4
Source: RefSeq, a predicted model, not a curated record
CACUUGGACAGCCCUGAAUGAGCACAGACAGCUGGUGCAGGUGUGCACAGCCAUGGCCAGGUGUGUCCAGGUGUGCACAGCCAUGGCCAGGUGUAUCCAGGUGUGUCUGCAGCCAUGGCCAGGUGUGCACAGGUGUGUCCAGGUGUGUCUGCAGCCAUGGCCAGGUGUGCACAGCUGUGCCCAGCUGUGUCUGCAGCCAUGGCCAGGUGUGUCCAGCUGUGCACAGCUGUGCACAGGUGUGUCUGCAGCCAUGGCCAGGUGUGCCCAGCUGUGCACAGGUGUGUCUGCAGCCAUGGCCAGGUGUGCCCAGGUGUGCACAGGUGUGUCCAGGUGUGUCUGCAGCCAUGGCCAGGUGUGCCCAGCUGUGCACAGGUGUGUCUGCAGCCAUGGCCAGGUGUGCCCAGCUGUUCUCAGCUGUGCCCAGCUGUGUCUGCAGCCAUGGCCAG